Molecule: ribosomal RNA, 614 nt
Filed under: uncultured archaeon
Lineage: Archaea
Description: bacterial SSU rRNA
Rfam family: Archaeal small subunit ribosomal RNA
Source: RNAcentral
AUGGCCCACCAAGCCGAUGAUCGGUACGGGUUGUGAGAGCAAGGGCCCGGAGAUGGAACUGAGACAAGGUUCCAGACCCUACGGGGUGCAGCAGGCGCGAAACCUCCGCAAUGUACGAAAGUGCGACGGGGGGAUCCCAAGCGUUAUGCUUUUUUGUAUGACUUUUCAUUAGUGUAAAAAGCUUUUAGAAUAAGAGCUGGGCAAGACCGGUGCCAGCCGCCGCGGUAACACCGGCAGCUCUAGUGGUAGCUGUUUUUAUUGGGCCUAAAGCGUUCGUAGCCGGUUUGAUAAGUCACUGGUGAAAUCCUGUAGCUCAACUGUGGGAAUUGCUGGUGAUACUGUUGAACUUGAGGUCGGGAGAGGUUAGCGGUACUCCCAGGGUAGAGGUGAAAUUCUGUAAUCCAGGGAGGACCGCCUGUUGCGAAGGCGUCUAACUGGAACGGUUCUGACGGUGAGGGACGAAAGUUAGGGGCGCGAACCGGAUUAGAUACCCGGGUAGUCCUAACUGUAAACGAUGCGGACUUGGUGUUGGGGUGGCUUUGAGCUGUUCCAGUGCCGAAGGGAAGCUGUUAAGUCCGCCGCCUGGGAAGUACGGUCGCAAGACUGAAACUUAA